UACGAAGGGGGCUAGCGUUGCUCGGAGUCACUGGGCGUAAAGGGUGCGUAGGCGGGUCUUUAAGUCAGGGGUGAAAUCCUGGAGCUCAACUCCAGAACUGCCUUUGAUACUGAAGAUCUUGAGUUCGGGAGAGGUGAGUGGAACUGCGAGUGUAGAGGUGAAAUUCGUAGAUAUUCGCAAGAACACCAGUGGCGAAGGCGGCUCACCGGCCCGAUACUGACGCUGAGGCACGAAAGCGUGGGGAGCAAACAGG
Molecule: ribosomal RNA, 253 nt
Filed under: uncultured bacterium
Lineage: Bacteria
Description: partial 16S ribosomal RNA
Rfam family: Bacterial small subunit ribosomal RNA
Source: RNAcentral